Molecule: ribosomal RNA, 497 nt
Filed under: uncultured bacterium
Lineage: Bacteria
Description: partial 16S ribosomal RNA
Rfam family: Bacterial small subunit ribosomal RNA
Source: RNAcentral
GAUGAACGCUGGCGGCGUGCCUAAUACAUGCAAGUCGAGCGAACAGAUGAGGAGCUUGCUCCUCUGACGUUAGCGGCGGACGGGUGAGUAACACGUGGAUAACCUACCUAUAAGACUGGGAUAACUACGGGAAACCGGAGCUAAUACCGGAUAAUAUAUUGAACCGCAUGGUUCAAUAGUGAGAGACGGUUUUGCUGUCACUUAUAGAUGGAUCCGCGCCGCAUUAGCUAGUUGGUAAGGUAACGGCUUACCAAGGCAACGAUGCGUAGACGACCUGAGAGGGUGAUCGGCCACACGGGAGCGGAGACACGGACCAUGCUACUACGGUAGGCAGCAGUAUGGAAGCUUCCGCAAUGGGCGAGAGCCUUACGGAGCAGCGCCGCGUGAGUUAUGAAGGUCUUCGGAUCGUAAAACUCUGUUAUUAGGGAAGAACAAAUGUGGAAGUAACUAUGCACGUCUUGACGGUACCUAAUCAGAAAGCCACGGCUAACUACGUG